Molecule: long non-coding RNA, 7580 nt
Organism: Mugil cephalus (flathead mullet)
Lineage: Eukaryota; Metazoa; Chordata; Actinopteri; Mugiliformes; Mugilidae
Exons: 3
Source: RefSeq, a predicted model, not a curated record
UGUCUUGUGUUUUUACUGUUGUGAGUGAGAUCUUCAGAGCACGCCGAAGCAGCGGGUGGACGGAAACCUAACGGUGAUAGCAUAAGUCCACUGUCUGUUGAAGUAGGCUGUUCAAGGGUCUAAAUAAGUUCUGGUGUCGUGACCGGGUCCUUAUGUGAACAGUCACUUGGGCUGAGAACUCGGAACAUAGCGUGCCAUACCUCUUAGCUGGCCAGAUCGUGUGAAUGAGUACACAGUAUGUGUGAUUCAGAGACAACAGAACCAGGGACAUUAGGAGCCCAUAUAAAGGAAAGGAGGGACAGUAUAAAACGAUCCUUCCUGGAGAAGAGAACAAAAAAAAAGAGGCUAAAGAUUUUGAAAAAUGGUGCAGAGGCUUACGGGGCCCCCCCACCGACAACCACUCUAUACGGGAACUCUCUAAAAUAUAAAAAACAAACAAAAACAAUUGAUUCAACUGAUGGCACAAUUUGAAAAAUCGGGAAGGUUAUCAAAGGGAAAGAAAGAAAAAGAAAAGGUAAAGAUUGAAGAUCAUUUAAAAUUUACAAGCAGGCAUUUUAGCAGUUGCUUUUAUAGCCACAAUAACAUUCCAAUGCAAGCAGUCCAGACCGGAGAAAAGCAGGAAGAUAAGGACGGAAUAACAAGGACAACCACCGCGACAACUGGUGAGAUACCACCUCCAUACACAAAACAGAAAGCGCAGGCUAAUACACCAGCAUCAGAACACCUAUAUACGGAGGCUAGGCCAAUGAUGGAGAGAGCACAACAAGAGAAUUCUAAUGAACAGUAUAGCCCAAAUAGCCUGUUCGUACAGAUGCCACAAGUAGUUGUAACCAAAGGCAUGCUUACGUGUGAAUUAAAACCAACACCAGGGGAGGCUGUUAAGCAAGCAUAUAAAGAAGAGGGAAGAGAGGAGCAGAUAAAAGAAAUGAAAAGUACAUUGAAUGAAUUAAAUGAGGAAAUGGCCAAAUUAAGCGUCAAAGCCAGUGAAGUGGAGCCUACAGUCUACAGCUUGCUGCGGCUCGGGCGUGGCCCCUUAUUGCAAGAAAAUGCCAUAAAAAAUUAAAGAUAUGGAACCUGCAUUAAAAAUAUAAGAGGACAACAUAAACUUAAAUAGGCUUAAAUAUGCAAUAAAAAAGAAAAUAAAUAGCCUAAAAAUAUAAAAACAAACAGAUUUUGAAAAAUGGUGCAGAGGCUUACGGGCCCCCCCACCGACAACCACUCUAUACGGGAACUCUCUAAGAUAUAAAAAACAAACAAAAACAAUUGAUUCAACUGAUGGCACAAUUUGAAAAAUCGGGAAGGUUAUCAAAGGGAAAGAAAGAAAAAGAAAAGGUAAAGAUUGAAGAUCAUUUAAAAUUUACAAGCAGGCAUUUUAGCAGUUGCUUUUAUAGCCACAAUAACAUUCCAAUGCAAGCAGUCCAGACCGGAGAAAAGCAGGAAGAUAAGGACGGAAUAACAAGGACAACCACCGCGACAACUGGUGAGAUACCACCCCCGAUAAUUCACGAAGAGUUCGCGGCUGAGUUCUGUUCAACUGAACUGAGAAAAGAACGAAACAGUUCAUCGUGAUUCGAUACAGUUCGUUCACUCAAAAGAUUCUUUCGAACGAAUCAUUCGUGAACGACCCAACACUAGGAGCUACCACAUCGGAGAAAUUUCGACAGCCACACAUGCCAAGAAAACGGCGCAGCGCUUUCUUGGACUGGGGAACCGGGAUUGACAAUGUGUGGAGAUGGUUAGACCAAGUGGAGGAGUAGGCAACUACAUCAUCUAAAUAGUCUUUUUGACACCAGACAACACGGUAUGCAUUAGGCGUUGGAAAGUAGCGGGAGCAUUUCGCAGCCCGAAUGGCAUAACGGUGUACUCUCCAUCCCAGAGAGAGGAAAAGAGUCGGGUUUGGUGACUGAUUUUACUUUUCUGUAAUCAUUACAGAAACGAGGGGUGUUGUCGGGUUUCGGAACCAAUACACAGGGCGAACUUUACGCACUCGAGAUGGGAACAGCUAAGCCAUGGUCAACCAGAUAACUCACCUCCUGCUGCAUUAUGGACCUUUUUGUCGGAUUUACUCUGUAUGCAUGUUGCUUGGUUGAUUUGUGGCCCUCCACAUCACUGUCAUGAUACAGAACAGACGUUUGACUAGGAUGGUCAGAGAAAAGCAACAAGUUAUCCUGAAUCAACUCUAUAAUAUCCGUACGGGCCGGGUUUGACAGAUGGAACAAAGUCACUCACUUCCUCUGAAUUCCUCAAGCGAGCGGCCGGCAUCAACCCAAUUUUCUCUGCCAAGUCAUCAUCAGCAAGAUUGUACUGAGGAGGAGCAGCGGACACGGACAUAACAGGCGCAGCAGAAGAGGCGAGUGAUCACUCACUCUGGAAAAGUAACAUUAUAACAUAUAGCAUACCCUGGACUUAUUGAGAUACAGAAAAUAAUUCAUGCUACAUGGUCCCUCCUUGGCCCACCAAAGCUUUCCAAAGAGGACAAAGUUUGCAAAAUUCCAAUGCGUUAUAUCCAGUGAUAAUAACGGCGUUAAAAUAAACGGCGUUACCAACGGUGUUUUUCAGUAACGGGGUAAUCUAAUUAAUUACUGUUUCCACCUUUAUGACGCCGUUUACGUAACUGAAAAUGAAAUGGGGCACGUUACUUGAUUCUCAGCCACGGGAGCUGCGAAGCGGUUUUUCUUUCUUUUUUUCUUUUCUUUUUUUGUCGAGGAGAGGAGCGAAACAACCGCGCAGGGGAUAUUGAUUCGCUAAGGUGGAGUAGGCUUUCACGAUAAGGCAAUCUCAGGCAGUGUUUAGUUUAUACACAAAUCACACCCAACUAGCCGAGGUGAGUCGACCCGGGGUUUUCCCACUUGUUUCUCACAAACAAGUUUUGAUCUUCUCCCAUAAAGACUGAUCUCUGAAGGGCAGAGAUUGUUGUUCCUUUUUUUUUAUAUCAGACAAAUCGCAUGUGUGGUUACACGAUCGUUAAUGGAAGCGCAUAGGUGAGCGGCGACUGUGCGACUGUGUUUAUAUCCAGCUCGUAUAGCGAGCUCCCACACUUUAACGAUCAUGAAAAGGGGGGAUUUCGCGGCAGAUAUCGGGCUCUGUGCAAUACAACGUGAUUUAUUCUAAUAUCAGCAGCCUUUUGAAAGAGCUGGGGUUUGAGCGAUCCGAUCUUCAGGUCAUCAACAAACUGCAACCUUAUCUGCAAUGUACGCAAUGACGUAUGAGGAAGGAAAAAACAGGCACGCAGCUCUCACAGCGGGAGGACUUUUGCCGAUGUGAAAGCGGUAUGUCUACCAGUAGGGGUCUGAGCUGCAAUAAAUAUUAAAAGUUCUGUGUAACUACGUGUCUAUACAAUUCUACUCUGUGUAACUGGCUUGUGAAACCUAUUUGCCAUUACAAUCCAGUCACAAUUCAGAUUAUGCUAAAAGACACCUGUUUUCCUCCGUUUUCUCUGUAACGAUUUAUUUGAAUUUCACAUGCUGCGUAGUAGCUCUUCAAGUUAAGAUAGAUUAAAUACACCUGUAAUAAAGAAGAAGAUGGAUUUCAUUGAAUCAUUGGGCAAACCUAAGAGGACAUGAGGUGUAACAGACACACUACAGAUGCCGCUUGGUAAACACAUUCAAAAAGGUGUUGGCAAACUAAAACCUAACCCAGCAACUAAUUCAAUCUAUUAUGUGAGGGAAAUCAUCCAGGUCAGAAUAUACUCAAACCAUGUCAAGAGAAAGGACAGAGAAAGAGUUUUAGAUGGACAACUGAAAACCAGGUUAAGGAAGUCAGGAUAGCUGGUAAAACUAUAAGCCAAACUGUUCCUUUCUCUUUACUACCACCAUGGACAGUGGGAGAAGUGAAUGUUGAUUUGAAACUGUUAAAGUAUCAAAAGGGGAAAUUUUUAAGUGUAGAUAAAGAAGGGAAUGAACUGUCAGAUAAAUAUGCUGAGAAAUGGCAGGAACAAUGGAAUAGAGGGACCAAAGCAUAAACCCAGUAGAGCUCUGAGAUCUACUGACUCAGGUCAGGUAGUGGAGCACAGAGUUCAAACCAGACAUGGUGAAGCAGCAUGAGGUGUUAUGCUGCACACAACUGGAACAAACUACCAGGAGAACUCAAAUCAGCCCAAACUGUAAGCACCUUUAAAUCCAGGUUAAAAACAUUUCUAUUUUCAUGUGCUUAUGGCUGAGCUGUUUUAAAUAAUUUUAAAUCGUAAUCUUGGAACUGCACUGAAAUCCUCUUAAUUGCUUUAAGGUAUGUAUGUAUUUGUGUAUAUGUGUGUGUGUGUCUGUGUGUGUGUGUGUGUGUGUGUAUUUAUAUAUAUACACAUUUUUAUUUCUUGUACUUUUUUCUUUUUCUUUGCUAAAUUGUUCUGUUUUAUGCUGCUCUUUUUAAAUGCUUUGUCUUUAUGUAAAGCACAUUGAGUUUUUCUCAAUUGCUAAAACACUAAAAGAGACUGGCUGAACAAUUUACAGUGCAGUCUGUUGUCAAUACCUUAAACCAUUUCACAUGGUAAAACACAAUCUGCAGAUCUCACUUAGACUUUUCAGCAGAACUCUAAACACAUUCUCAUUCUCAAAACACAUUCUUCACUCUAAUGCACAUGUCAUCCAUACUGGUAAACACAAGUGGCAACAAUCAAAUGCAAAUAGAGAACACAUGGCAUUGAUUAAACACAACCACUCAAAAUUGAUUUCACUUGUUUCAAAUCAUGUGACACAACCAAUAUAAGCCAGGUCAGAGAGCAAACAGGUUGUUAAAGGUGGGGAGAAGAAAGUCUUAGAAUGGACAGAAGAAACAAUGUGAGAGGAUGAGGAUGAGUGCGUAUGCCAGGUGGGUGACAAGGAGAAAGAGGAGGACGAAGAGAAAGGGGAAAACAAAGAGUGGAAAUAUCCGAUGAAAUUUGAGCAACAAUAAUUGAUCAUGUUCUUGUCCAUGGACUGACAAUGAAGCAAGCAGGACUUAGAUUGCAACCUAAUUUGAGCCAAUUCUCUGUGCCCAUCAUGGUAAGGACAUUCAGAGAUGAGAACAGAGAUGAGUAUACUACUGUAUUUUUGUAAUUGCAAAUUUACUGUACUACACUAUAUAAAGCUGUUUCAAUAGACCUUUGUAAAGUUCAUCACUGUAUGUAUUGCACUGCGUGGAUAUGUUUUGUAACUGCACAUAAACUGUUUUUAGAAUUGCAAGGCUGCCAUAUGCAGGUGGAAGGACAGCUAUAUUCACUUGCGAGCAAGACAACAUAGUUGGCAUGGUCCUUCAAGAUAAUCUAAUAAGACUCAGAAAUCCAGGAACAAGUGAUACGAGACAACACACGCUUCCAGGGAAUCGACAGUGUGAGCAUUUCCACAAUUGACCAUACCCUCCAACGUAACAGGAUGCGGAUGAAACAAGUAUACAGUACCUUUUGAACGCAACUCACCAGUGGUGAAAGAACGGCAAGCUUAGUAUGAGCAAAUAAUAUUUGACUUGGAAUCUUUGUCGAUGAAGCAGGCUUCAGUCUAACAAAGGGGAGAAGGAGAGGCUGAAACAUGAUUGGACACUGGGCCAUUGUUGAUGUCCCUGGUCAAUGAGGUUGCAAUGUCACAAUCUGUGCUGCUAUCAGCAACCAUGGUGUUCUUCAUCACCACGUUACACUCGGGUCAUAUAACACCCAGCACCUUCUUAGAUUUCUGCUCAGGGUGUACAGGGAAUUGGAUGCUCAUGCAAUCCCACAUAAGUUCAUCUUCAUAGAUGAGGCUGGCUUCAACCUAGCAAAGACCAGAAGAAGGGGAAGAAACAUCAUUGGCCACAGAGCCAUUAUAGAUGUUCCUGGCCAAUGGGGUGGGAACAUCACAAUGUGUGCUGCCAUCUCCAAUACGCAUCUCCACCUUCAUGCCAACCUUGAACCAUACAACACAAUCUAUAUUCUCACAUUUCUGGACACACUCCGCAACAUUCUCAUACAACCAGAGCAUAAGAAUGAUGCAGACCUUCAAAGAAACCGGUGCGUUGUAGUAUGGGACAACGUGAGCUUUCAUCAUGCAGCCCCAUUCCAAAAUCGGUUUGCUGACCACCCACCGUUUCUUGUGCUAUACCUCUCACCAUACUCACCAUUUCUGAACUCCAUAGAAGAGUUCUUUUCAGCAUGGCGGUGGAAGGACCGGCAGCCCUAUGUGCGCAUUCCUUUAGUGAAGGCUAUGAAAUUGAUGUGGGUGCAAUUCAGGGAUGGAUAAGGUACUCAAGGCACUUCUUCCCUCGAUGUCUGGCAAGGGAAGAUAUUGCCUGUGAUGUGGAUGAGGCGUUGUGGCCAGAUCCAGCUGUGUGGCAAGAUGCUGCCUAAUUAUUUUUGUUGCCUAUAUUUUUUUUCUGAAACUAUUUUUCAGGUUACUGUUUUUGUGAUCAUAUUUUUGUUAAUUCCAAUAUAAAUAUCUGCUGUGCAUAUGUUACACUGUCCUGUUUGGGACGGGAAAAAUAAAAUGUUUCAUCUGCAUGUGCAUCUGCAAAUAUUUCUGUGCAUGUGAACAAUCUGAAGCAUUUUCUACAAGUUGAACUAUUUUAAUAUUAUGGCAAGCGUACUAAAGAUGAGAGUGCUUUACAUUAUGCUCAACAGUAUAUACUGUAGUUGCAUAGACAAAUCUGGUAAUAUGCAUGAUGUGUGUGCCAUUUGGUGCAAAAGUUUGAUUUUGACAAUGCUAUAUGCAGUUUUGGAUGGAAAGUAUGUGAUAGACAACACUACACCUGAGUAAAUCUGCUGCAAGCCAUGGCUUAAGCCUGUGGUGAUAUAUGUGAGGAACCAUGUCAGGGCUGGAUACGGCACACAAGAAACUUCUUCCCUCUUUGCCUCAGGAGGGAAAAUAUUGUUUGUGAUGUUGACGAAGUGCUCUGGCCUGACCCAGCCCAAAGACAGGAAGAGGCACAUUGAUCAAUACAAUACACUGUACAAUAAACAAAUUGUAGGGCACUGAGUAUUGUGCUCUCCAUUUGUUUACAGUACUGACUGCUCAAUAUAUUUUGACUGGUUGCAGGUUCAUAUCCACAAAGAACAAGAAUUACAGUAUUACAGAUACAAAGGACAAGUUUGUGAGAUGCAGGGUACAGUACUGUAAAAACAGGGGUACAAGCAAGCAGGCAGAGUAGUAAUUUCUGAUCAAUUUUGAGCUACUAUGAUGGUACAUGUUUUCCGUUCAUUAAAAGUCAAUGACGGAAAAAAUAUGAAAAUUGUUUUGAAAUUAAAAAUUUACUUCUCCCUGAGAACUAUAUGUUUUGAACAAUGUGUAUUUUUGGUGUGUUGUUUACUGGCUGCUUGAUAGUGUAUAUAAUUUUGAUCACUUUGUUUAUGAUUUGAGAGCAAUGUUUGGUUUUGAGCACAGUAACGCCUUCUUUAAAUAAUUUAAAUAAAGUAAAUUUUUUCAGAUUUUUCAGGAAACACAAAAAACUGAACCAUUUGUUGAAUAUAUGAUAUUUACUCACAAUUUUAAUCAAAACAGUUAUAACAACAGAUGCCUAUUGACAUACAAACAACUAGGUCAGUCAAACAUGCAACAUGGGAGAAUUAAAUGACUUAGGCAAAUUUUCGAACAUGCCUUUGUGACUUAGGCAAUUCUAAACUUUCUACUCUGUCACGGAAUAAA